CCCCCAUUAGCUCAGAUGGUAAAGAAUCUGCCUGCAAUGCAGGAGACCCGGGUUCAACCCCUGGAUUCGGAA
RNAcentral lists this transfer RNA (72 nucleotides) under Bos taurus (domestic cattle). It matches the Rfam family "tRNA". Rfam says of the family: Transfer RNA (tRNA) molecules are approximately 80 nucleotides in length. Their secondary structure includes four short double-helical elements and three loops (D, anti-codon, and T loops). Further hydrogen bonds mediate the characteristic L-shaped molecular structure. tRNAs have two regions of fundamental functional importance: the anti-codon, which is responsible for specific mRNA codon recognition, and the 3' end, to which the tRNAs corresponding amino acid is attached (by aminoacyl-tRNA synthetases). tRNAs cope with the degeneracy of the genetic code in two manners: having more than one tRNA (with a specific anti-codon) for a particular amino acid; and 'wobble' base-pairing, i.e. permitting non-standard base-pairing at the 3rd anti-codon position. RNAcentral also lists the same sequence under 5 other names. The record is from Rfam by way of RNAcentral. Lineage: Eukaryota; Metazoa; Chordata; Mammalia; Artiodactyla; Bovidae.